UACGUAGGGUGCAAGCGUUAAUCGGAAUUACUGGGCGUAAAGCGUGCGCAGGCGGUUCGGCAAGAAGGAUGUGAAAUCCCGGGGCUUAACCUCGGAACUGCAUUCUUAACUGCCGGGCUAGAGUAUGUCAGAAGGGGGUAGAAUUCCACGUGUAGCAGUGAAAUGCGUAGAGAUGUGGAGGAAUACCGAUGGCGAAGGCAGCCCCCUGGGAUAAUACUGACGCUCAUGCACGAAAGCGUGGGGAGCAAACAGG
This 253-nucleotide ribosomal RNA is filed under the name uncultured Burkholderiales bacterium. Its description in RNAcentral is "partial 16S ribosomal RNA". It matches the Rfam family "Bacterial small subunit ribosomal RNA", at positions 524 to 776 of the family's 1533-position model. The record is from RNAcentral. Lineage: Bacteria; Pseudomonadati; Pseudomonadota; Betaproteobacteria; Burkholderiales.